GACUGCCGGAUUCUAAAUGCAGGCCAAACAUAUUUGGUGUGAAAAUAAUAUUCUUCUUGAUUUUUUAUCCAUUUGAUUAGAUUGAUUGCCCUUAAACACAUUUUUCAGUAACGGCCUGCUUUAGGGAAUCAGCGAUCGAAGCUCCAGUCCACUCAAUCCAUCAAUUAGGCUUUGAUUUAUGUCAUAUAAGAGUGCUUUGGCCUGAAUCCUGUCUUACCAUCCUUGUGUGUGUGUGUCAUGCCAGAUGGUGAAAAAAAAAAUGCCUCAAAAUGGAGAUCGGCAGUCAGACAGAGAGGAAAACAAACAGCUAGACAAAGUGAUAAACAGACAAAACACACAAACAGGCAAAAAGAAAAAAAAAUAUAAAAAAGAUGAGAUAGACAAAUAUAUUUUUUUUAUUUCCACUCCACCCAUCAUCACAUUCUGCUCUCACGCAUACAGGAACAAAGGCAGAUACGAGUGAGUACGUGUUUUAGUCUAUGGACCUCUGCCAAACUUGUAACAAUAACGACUAGACAAAAAACUAGUUCUCAAGGUCUUCAUGGGAUGGAGAGCGCAGGCCAAGACAUGAUUUCCCGGAGGUGACGUAAACAAACCAUCCGGAGUCUUCGCUGGGGAAGAUGACGUAGCCACCACCACCACUGCGCUGCGCGUGCGCGGAAUUUCAGAGGUGGCGCGCAGAGGAAGGCGAGAGCUCUGGAAGCUGCUGCUGCGGCUGCUGGCGCCGUUUGGUCCACAGAACGCGUCCACACGUGCGCACGAGCCUGUGAACACGAGAUGCGCACGCAAACAAGGGCAGGAAGGUUGUGGAAACCAGCGUGUAUAUUACGUCACAGAGCGUUGGCAUGAGUCUCACACCGGAGGAUCGGCACAGCAGCUCAUGAAGGGAUGAUUGUCCCCAUCACCAACCUCUCUGGAAGACCUCGAUGGACAAGAAAAUGCCAUUACUGAAUAUCAACGUUCUGGCAUUUUAAAUAUAAAGUUUCUUGAGAGGAAUAAGGCAGCUGUGAUGAACUUCAGUGAGCGCGUUCUCAAUACUGGGACAAACGAUGACAUUCAACCACAUGGACAACAUCAGACGACAAAAAUGACAAUCAGCAACAUUUAAAGACAACAUUGUUUGUCUCGCCAUCAUCACUGGUGAAAAAUUCUCUAAGUUGUGCUGUGUUGUUCUUGCAAACGAAAUGAGCUUCGAAAGAAGAAAACAAGAGAACAACAUUCUCUCUGGACAGUCUACGGAAGAAGUUUGAUAAAGAUGACCAGGCAGACUGCACUGAGAGAUGCUCAGCAUAGUAACAAGCCUCUAGAAGUUUAGUCCGGAGGCUACACCAGGCAGCAAAGUUCUCUCUGAGGGGUUUGAACUGUUGCACCUGCCCCGACAGGUUUUUUAUUCCUUCUCACGACUUUCAAGAUGCUUGGAAGUGACAAAGUGACCGAAGGCUCCACAGUAGGGCUGGACAGGACCCGAUGGACCUGUUUGUCAGCGCUGACAGCUCUUCCUGUGUUCUUUUUUCUCCUGCUACAUACAGGCUUGGCUCACGAAGACUGUCUGGUCGCCAAGGGUGAGGAGCUUGACAAGUGUACCAAAGCUGCGGUCAACCUGACCAUAGCGGAGGACACGCUUGACGGCCUCGUCGACACCUGCAGGUGAGAAUGUGUCCUCUUCAUACACCUUUACAAUUCAAAACGACUUUUAAUGAAUUUAGUUGUAUAUGAAGAAAUGUAGUUAACUGAAGUCUUCGUGCGUGUCACCAGACUGA
Molecule: long non-coding RNA, 1760 nt
Filed under: Pomacea canaliculata
Lineage: Eukaryota; Metazoa; Mollusca; Gastropoda; Architaenioglossa; Ampullariidae
Description: uncharacterized LOC112572943
Source: RNAcentral